This is a long non-coding RNA of Dermochelys coriacea (leatherback sea turtle), 223 nucleotides long. RefSeq lists it as uncharacterized. The record is from RefSeq and is a predicted model, not a curated record. Lineage: Eukaryota; Metazoa; Chordata; Testudines; Dermochelyidae. The transcript is spliced from 2 exons.
GGGCUGGCAGUGGGCAGGCUGGUUGCUGGGCUGUCUGGGUCCCCCCCUUGGGUCACGGGCAGGUGGGGGCUGGCAGUGGGCAGGCUGGUUGCUGGGCUGUCUGUGCCCCCCCCUUAGGUCACGGGCAGGUGCGGGCUGGCAGUGGGCAGGCUGGUUGCUGGGCUGUCUGUGCCCCCCCCUUAGGUCACGGGCAGGUGGGGGCUGGCAGUUGGCAGGCUGGUUG